RNAcentral lists this ribosomal RNA (332 nucleotides) under uncultured bacterium. Its description in RNAcentral is "bacterial SSU rRNA". It matches the Rfam family "Bacterial small subunit ribosomal RNA", at positions 568 to 898 of the family's 1533-position model. The record is from RNAcentral.
CAUGCAGGCGGUCAGGCGCGUUUUGUGUGACAGCGGGUGGCUUCACUACCCGAGCAUGCGAAAGACGGCGUGACUUGAGGACUCGAGAGGGACACGGAAUUCCGGGUGGAGUGGUGAAAUGCGUAGAGAUCCGGAGGAACACCGAAGGCGAAGGCAGUGUCCUGGCGAGUGACUGACGCUGAGGUGCGAAAGCCAGGGGAGCGAACGGGAUUAGAUACCCCGGUAGUCCUGGCCGUAAACGAUGACCACCAGGUGUGGGAGGUAUCGACCCCUUCCGUGCCGUAGUUAACACAGUAAGUGGUCCGCCUGGGGAGUACGGUCGCAAGAUUAAA